GGGUGAGUAACACGUGGGUAACCUGCCUCAAAGUGGGGGAUAGCCUUCCGAAAGGAAGAUUAAUACCGCAUAAAGCCAAGUUUCACAUGGAAUUUGGAUGAAAGGAGUAAUUCGCUUUGAGAUGGACCCGCGGCGCAUUAGUUAGUUGGUGGGGUAAUGGCCUACCAAGACAGCGAUGCGUAUGCCGACCUGAGAGGGUGAUCGGCCACAUUGGAACUGAGAUACGGUCCAGACUCCUACGGGAGGCAGCAGUGGGGAAUAUUGCACAAUGGGCGAAAGCCUGAUGCAGCAACGCCGCGUGAGUGAUGAAGGUCUUCGGA
RNAcentral lists this ribosomal RNA (320 nucleotides) under Clostridium tyrobutyricum. Its description in RNAcentral is "bacterial SSU rRNA". It matches the Rfam family "Bacterial small subunit ribosomal RNA", at positions 104 to 422 of the family's 1533-position model. The record is from RNAcentral. Lineage: Bacteria; Bacillati; Bacillota; Clostridia; Eubacteriales; Clostridiaceae.